AAUUAUUCAGCAUCUUCAAUGAAGUGGAAACGUAAACUGUAUGACACAGAAGAAAAGUUAGAUGACAUGACAAAAAUUUUUUAAAAUGCUGUUAAAAGGAAGCAGAGAGCCAAAACAUUUUGCAAGAAACAAACAGAUAAGUUGUAUGCAGAAAACCAUUGAACUGAAAACAAAAUUAGACUCCUUUGGGGACAUGCCAUGGGAGUUGUUUAAGAAAGAUACCAAAGAAUACAACACUUCUCAGAGAGAUUUUGCGAUAUCCCUUCACCUUAUGUCACCAAAAGCCUAUGAUUAUCUAAGAACUGCUGGGUUUCCUCUGCCCCAUCCAAGGACAUUAAGAAAGUGGAUGGGAAGUAUCGACUGCAGUCCAGGAUUAAAUGACGCAAUGAUCACAGUUCUUGCCGAAAAGCGCAAAAUGUCACCAGAGAAAUAUACCAGUUGCUGUCUCAUGUUAGAUGCUAUGUCCAUCAGAAAACAAGUGGAUUAUAACCAACACAAUGGCCAUUUCACGGGUUAUGUUGAUUUAGGUUAUGGAGAAGAUGAAGAGGUUGAAGCCAAAGAAGUAUUGGUAUUUAUGGUUGUGGGCCUUGGUGGGCAUUGGAAAGCUCCUGUUGGAUACUUUUUUACAGGCGGUUUAUCUGCAGAAACACAAAAACAACUGGUCACUCAUUGUCUUGAAAAACUGUUUGAGCUAGGGGUGGGCAUGCCACUAAUAUGGCUAUGUGUAGAUUGCUUGGGGCUAGGCUUGAUUUUUCAACGUCUACUGAUGAGAUUAAGACUUCCAUAACAUCAUUAGGUCAAAGCCACACUACUUAUAUCUUUCCUGAUGCUUGUCAUAUGAUCAAAUUAUUUCGAAACACUCUUCAAGCCUAUGGUGGAUUUACUAGUGAUGAUGGAAAGGUCCUUUGGAAAUUUAUAAAAGAGCUUAAUGAUGUUCAAAAUGAAUCUGGUCUGAAGCUAGCUAACAAACUAUCAAUGAAACAUAUACAAUUUGCUCAACAGAAGAUGAAGGUCAGUCUGGCUGUUCAAGUUAUCUCCUCAUCAGUAGCGAAGGCAUUUAGAACAAUGAAAGACAUUGGUGAUAAACGAUUUGCAGAAUGUGAAGCCACUGCAAAAUUC
Molecule: long non-coding RNA, 1119 nt
Organism: Patella vulgata (common limpet)
Lineage: Eukaryota; Metazoa; Mollusca; Gastropoda; Patellidae
Exons: 4
Source: RefSeq, a predicted model, not a curated record